Myotis brandtii (Brandt's bat) is the source of this 76-nucleotide non-coding RNA. The record is from Rfam. Lineage: Eukaryota; Metazoa; Chordata; Mammalia; Chiroptera; Vespertilionidae.
GAGACACCCUUAUUGGGUAGGACUUGCUUCAAUGGGGCUUUGGUGCUCACUGAGUCUGCCCCCUUAGUGUGUCCCU